Heterocephalus glaber (naked mole-rat) is the source of this 3317-nucleotide long non-coding RNA. The record is from Ensembl. NCBI's taxonomy places the organism in Eukaryota, Metazoa, Chordata, Mammalia, Rodentia, Bathyergidae.
GUGAGCAAGCCGGUGGGGGGCGGGGAGCGGCCGCGGCCAGACCCACCGGCAGCCAGGCGGGCGGGCGGACGUUUCCCGGAGCGGUCUCCACUGUCCCAGCCUCCGAGGGAGCGGUGAGGAGCGGCCGCGAGGAUUCGGGGCGCGAGAGGGCGGGGAGCGAGUUCGUGAGGAGACCGCGGCUUGUGCGGGGCGCAGUGUCGGGCUGGGGGCUGUGUGACAGCGGCUGUCAGCGCCCCGCGGGAAAGGAACCGAGUCAGUCUGAGGGUCGGGGCGUCGCUUCUGGCGCAUAAUGGAGGCGUCAGGCUGCCUGGCGCCUGUUCCCCCUGGGAAGGAAUCGCUUUCUCAGGCAGCCGACUGCCCGGGACCCCCAGACACCCGGUCGGGUCCGCGCCCUGACUGGUGACUUCCCGGUGGUCAUUUGCAAUUUAACAGCCCCGCUUGCCGCCCCUCAGCGGGCGUUAACCUGUGUCGCCUGCCCUGCCCUGCCCUGCGUGUUGCUCGGGGAGAGCCUGCGGCGUCGGAUAAUCCUCUCCCUCUCCGGCCCCCUAAGGAGCUUUGAAUCAGCCUUGUUAACCUUUCCUCCCACCUCCUCUCCUUUCACCCCCUAAAGACUGCCUUGAAGUUUCCCAGUCUGUUCCGUUCCCACGUAAUGACAAAUCUUGAAGCAGGAGGCUGAUAAACAACCCCAAACCAAAAUAUGCUCAAAAUUUUUCCUUUCGGUAAACAUAAAUUAAACGGGAAACUCAUCUUAACCAAACCGUUUCUGGACUAGCAGUGCUAAAAGCCUGUCUUGCCUUGGCACGAGAAUUGGGAGCUGUUCCCUUUAGCUUUUUGGGCUGCCUCUGAAGAAAGGAGAAUGGCGUUCAGCAAAGGAUUUCGGAUCUAUCACAAAUUGAUCCCCCACCUUUCAGCCUCAUAGUGGAAACUAGGCAUAAAGAAGAAUGUCUCAUGUUCGAGUCUGGGGCUGUGGCUGUGCUGUAUGUCAAGUAUUGUGUCUCAGCGGCAAAGAAUGGAACUAAGACAAUGAUGGAGUAGCAGGAACUGGAUUUCCCUCCCUCCUUAAAUAACAAUAACAACAAUAAUAAAAUGAAUAAAGUGGGGCCAGGGAUUUAGCUCAGUGGUUUCACUGCCUGCUGCACAAGCACAAGGACCCGAGUUCGAUCCCCGGUACCAAAAAAAAAAAGAAAAGAAAAAAUGAAUAAAAUAUAUGAAAUGAUUUUCAGACAUUGAGCAUUAGGUAGCACAAAUUGACCCCUGAGAGAAAUGAAACAAAUGAGAUAGGCCUUAAAAUUGCUCCAUAAUGUACUCAUGUUGAACCUGGCAGGCUCCCAGAGUUGAAGAGACAAUAGGGAAUAUGUGGAGCCCAAGGCAGCAGGACCCCUCAGUGCUGAGUACCAGAAAGGAGAUAGCAAGACUUCACCUGAGUAGUAACCAACGUCAGUGUACGAAGAGACUACCCAAGGCAGGAAAAAGCACUGAAAAGGAAAAAGCAGAAAAGUGUUUGGAGCCCGUAUGUUUGGAAAUAAUUCAUUUUGAACAUCUAGAGUGGAAAAGUCUUGUAUUAUGCAGGGAAUUGGGUUGCACACUCAAAAGGGUGUAGUGCUUCAGUAAUGGGGCAAAAUAACCUUAGACUAAAUUCUGCUCUGGUCCUACCUCACAAAGCUUAAAUGGGAGAUCCACAAGGGUCACACUGUUUCCCAAUAACUUAAUCUCCAAAUAACUAUUUCAGAACAAAGUUUCAGAAUAUUUACAGGAAUACAAACACACACACACAUAUAUGUACAUAUAUUUAUGAGACGUGUAUGUAUGCUAUAUAUCAUUCAACCUUGUAAAAUUCACAAUUAAAAGUUAGCUUAUAUAUGAAAAAGCAGAAAAUACAUCUCAUGAUGAAAAGAAAAGCCAGUCUGUAGAAACAGAUGCUAAAAUUAGUAAGGGACAUUAAAACAGCUAUCAUAAAUAUACCCCAUGUUCAAGAAGUAGAGAAAAGAAUGAGCAUAAGGAGAAAUGUGAAAAAUAUGACUCAAAUUUUUAGAAAGUGAAAAUAACUUUUGAAAAAAAUGCACUGAUCAAGGAAUUAGAUUUGAUGCUACUGAAGAAAUAAAUGGUUCGUAAACUUGAAGACAUAGUAAUGGAAUAUCCAAAAUGAAAUAUAUAGAGAAAAAAAUAUCUAAAAUAAGCAGAGCACCUAAAAUAAACAGCACCAGUGAAUUGUGGGACAACUUUAAGUGGCCUAAUGUAUAUAUGCAAUUAGAAUCAAAAGGAAGGCGUUGAGAAAAGAAAAUGAAGAAGUAAUAUAAUAGGCCAUUUUCCAUAUUUAAUGAAAACUCUAAAUGCACAGAUCCAAGAGACUAAAUGAGCCCUAAGCAGAGGAAACAAAGAAAACUGCACCCAAAUGCAUAAUCAAAUCCCCAAUUACCAGUGAUACAGAGAAAAUCUUAAAAGUAUCCCAAGGAGAAGAGGAUAUACAUGGUACAGAGGAGUAAGGAUAAGAAUGAGAUGUGUCAUGUACAUGUACCAACUCGCCAUGAGAAAUAUCAUUAUGUACUACAAACAUACUAAUGAAAUAUUUUUUAAUACAUUAAAAAAUGGUUUUUUACUUUAGAAGUAAUUCAAGCCAGGAGACAUAAUUAAUGACUUUACAGUAUUGAAAGGGAAAAAGAACAAAAGCAUCCUAGGGUUCUAUGUCUAACCAUAAAGGAAGAAGAUACAAAGAUAUUUCAACAUUGAAAAGCUAAAAGACAUGAGCUAAAUAUAGUGAGAAAUAGUAAAAUAGUAUUGCUUUUGUUUUUAUGUAAUCCCAACAUUUUCAGAAACUGAAGUGAUAAAUUCUAAAUCAGUGAGAUUUUGAAAGAAGCAUAAAGAAUAGAAUGGACUAGGGUAGUUGGUUAGCCUCAAAAUUAAAGUACCAAGAAGAGGUAUAGAUUUAAAAAUUCCCUGUCAUAUUUUUACUGGUGACAAUUUAAAUUUACCUGUUUGAGUUUUUAAUAAGAAUUUUUGUUUUCAUUUUUCCAAAAUUCUAUAGAUUUUGCAACUGAGUGAAAAGACUUAUUAAAUUCUCAAAUAUUAGUAUUCUGUAUAUGAAAUAAUUGUUUUUCCAUUUUAUUAGUCUUCCUAUGUAACUUUUUAUAUGUAAAGUAUCUUUAUAUAAAUUAGCUCUUAGUAAUGUUUUUAGUAUAGGUUAUAUUUCAUUUGGUUCACUAGUAGACUGUAGGACUGCUGUAGUCUGUUGAAUGCCUUAUUGAAAAGCAGAUAGUCUUUUAGUAUCCUGUGGAUCAUGUGUAGAGUGUAGCAGAAUGAAUCUUAUAAUUAAAUUUCUG